ACUCCUACGGGAGGCAGCAGUAGGGAAUCUUCCACAAUGGGCGCAAGCCUGAUGGAGCAACACCGCGUGAGUGAAGAAGGGUUUCGGCUCGUAAAGCUCUGUUGUUAAAGAAGAACACGUAUGAGAGUAACUGUUCAUACGUUGACGGUAUUUAACCAGAAAGUCACGGCUAACUACGUGCCAGCAGCCGCGGUAAUACGUAGGUGGCAAGCGUUAUCCGGAUUUAUUGGGCGUAAAGAGAGUGCAGGUCGGUUUUCUAAGUCUGAUGUGAAACGCCUUCGGCUUAACCGGAGAAGUGCAUCGGAAACUGGAUAACUUGAGUGCAGAAGAGGUAGUGGAACUCCAUGUGUAGCGGUGGAAUGCGUAGAUAUA
RNAcentral lists this ribosomal RNA (372 nucleotides) under uncultured bacterium. RNAcentral's name for it is "bacterial SSU rRNA". It matches the Rfam family "Bacterial small subunit ribosomal RNA", at positions 335 to 698 of the family's 1533-position model. The record is from RNAcentral.